AUUGAGUACGAUAAUCUGGCAUCGGCGGCCAUUCUUCUCCCCGCCAGCCAUCAGUGGUUCAACAGGUCCACCUCUACUCCGCCGGCACUCUCCUGGGCAACGACGCCCUACCAUUAACGUCCCUCUUGGCUGAUUCUGUUGGUGUGUCUCUGACCCAGAAGGGAGAAUCUCCACGCUGACUUCCCCCAUGAUGUCUUACGGCAGAGGCCCGCCGGAUAUCAAGGGCAUGACGUCCCUUAAGGUGGAUAACUUGACCUACCGCACCACCCCAGAGGACUUGCGGCGGUCCUUCGAGAAGUACGGGGAGAUCGGGGACGUCUACAUACCCCGGGACCGCUUCUCCAGGGAGUCCCGCGGUUUUGCCUUCAUCCGGUACUAUGACCGCCGCGAUGCCGAGGAUGCCAUGGAGGCGAUGGAUGGACGGCGGCUGGACGGAAGGGAGCUGAGAGUCCAGAUGGCACGCUACGGCCGCCCCGAGACCCCGCCGCACCGCCGCCGCCGCCGCAGUUCUCGUUCAAGGUCACGCUCAAGGUCGCGCAGGAGGAGCCGGAGGUCAAGGUCGCGGUCCAGGACAAGGUCUCGCUCCAGGCACCGUCGCUCUCGCUCAAGGAGCAACAGCCGGUCCCGGUCUCGCUCGCACACCCGCUCUCGCUCAGGCAGCAAGAGCCGCUCUCGCUCCAUUCCCCCGGAGCAGGACCAGGCUCGCUCGGCUCGCUCCGACCACCACCGCUCACCCCCCCAUGCCCCCCCGGCACCCCCCAACGGCAUGGAUGGGGGACCGGGAGGGGAGGGGGGCGCUCGCUCUAAAUCAAGGUCUCACUCCAAGUCUCGCUCGAGGUCCAGGACACCAAGGUCACGGUCAAGGUCCAAGUCGCCUCGCUCGAGGUCAAGGUCAAGGUCCAUGGAGUGAAACCCUACAUAGACAAGGCUGAAGAAGAAGAGGAAGAAGAAGAAGAAAGGGAGAGAAAGAGAGAGAGAGAGAGAGAGAGAAAAAAAAAUUAAAAAUAUUACUGAAGGCGCUGAGCUGUUGCUGGCUUGCUGUGUUGCUGUGUGGUGUGGUGAGGAGAGCGGAGGAGGUGGUGAUAGCAGUGUUGCGGUGAAUGCAGUCACAGUGGCGGUGAUGCAGUGUUGCGGUGAAUGCAGUCACAGUGGUGGUGAUGCGGUGUUGCGGUGAAUGCAGUCAGUGGCGGUGAUGCGGUGUUGCGGUGAAUGCAGUCACAGUGGCGGUGAUGCAGUGUUGCGGUGAAUGCAGUCAGUGGCGGUGUUGCGGUGAAUGCAGUCAGUGGCGGUGGUGCUCGAGUCAAGGUUAUGUUGGUGUGGGGGUCAUAGUUGGAGAUGAGAUGGCCAGCAAGAAUCUACCUGACGGGGCUUUACUAGGCGCACCCAACAUGGUACAGCAGGGACUGUUUUGGGGGCCAUGGGAGGCAGUGGUCUAGGGGCCGCUUUCACAGUCACUUUGUUUGUUUUGAGCGUUACCAAUGGCGCCGAUGGACGCUAUAGUUUUCCGCGUGAAACUGGCCUAUGGGGUCCUCUGUAUGGCCACCCGCACGACAAGUCCAGCCAGAGGAGUUUGGGGUCUGUACAGAGUUAUUCAUCCUGAACUCCAUAGCUGGGCACGAUAACAGAAAACCUUAUUCCUGAUAACCGAUAACUGAUAAUGGAAAACCUUAUCGGUGAUAACCGAUAUUCAUUAACUGGAGACACAAAUAUAGGCGAUAACCGAUACCCGAUAUAAAUCGACAAUUCCGAUACUAGCUAGCGAUAAGUCCGAUAGGCGAAAACGAUACUAUGUUGAUAUUUCAAAUAAAAAAAAACAUAGAUGAAUUCAAAUGUCAUUAUCUGUAUUUUAGAAAACUUACAAAACCGGAAAACCACACGUUGACACGUACCUUUCGACGGUAAUACUAGAAACGCCUGAACCGGUGUUGUGUUAUUUGGCGUCCCCGCCGUCAAAAGCACUAGCUUUUUUGUUUACAAACACUGGUCUCUCGUGAACUGCGCAUUCUCAGACCAGCAAGCGUAGACCUGUACAGUCUCACAAAGCUUUUUAACCGUAAUGAAGAGUUGCUGGAAGGCUGAAUCAGACAUACAGUACCACCAUCCCCGCUGUUUCUAGAACGACACUGUACGAGUUGUAUUUAUAUGUACAGAGUGUCGUUCUAGAAACAGCGAGGAUGGUGGUACUGUUUGUCUGAUUCAGCCUUCCAGCAACUCUUAAUGUGUUAAAAAGCUUUGUGAGACUGUACAGGGCUACGCUUACUGGUCUGAAUGUGCGCAGUUCACGAGAGACCAGUGUUUGUAAACAAAAGUGCCAGCUUUUGACGAUGGGACACCAAAUAACACAACAUCGGGUGCCUUCAAUACCAUGGCAUGCUCACAAACGAAUAUGGAAUAUCAAAUUUGAGGCAGUGAAUAAUCAUUUUGGGGGUAAGUUAAAUGAUUUUUCUCUUUGAUAUAUUGAUUUUUGAGUAACAAAAAACAUAACCUAGUGUUUUAAUGUUGAUGAUCUAAGUAUGAAAUCUUUUCACUGAAGAUAUUUCAUAACCCAAAGGUUUUUCAAACAACACCGGGCGCCCGGGCCACACAUGCGCAGUAGGGAGGAGACAACUUUUUUUCUGAGAGGCGGAAAAAAGUAGCGAUUAUCGCUAAUUUGGUCACAAAAGUAACGAAGAUACCGAUAUAUAUUUAAAUAAGUAGCGGAUGGCCAAUAACCCGAUUUUGUUAUCAGCGAUAAAGUAUCGCGAUGACUUAUCGCGACAACACCCAGCUAUGCUGAACUCUGUAGGGACCCCAAACUUGUCGGACCAGACUUGUCAUGCUAAGGAAGGGAGAAUCAGUUACCAGCUCAGUGCCACACAGUUUGGCGGCAUGGUGGAGGGAGGGGCCAGGUGGGUGCGAGUGGAGGCGGAAGAGGCGGAGGAAUUUGGGUGACCUGAACACCUCAAGCCAUUUUUUAAAUGUUUUUGGGGUAACUAAUUCCAUUUCUUUCAGAUUAUUUUUUUUUUUCCGAUAACCCACCAGGAGGCCCCCCCCCUCCCCCCCCCCCAAAAAAAAGCGGGUGAAUGCAAGAGGAGGAGGAGGCCAUUACAGCUAUUUCCAAAGAUCUUGUCACUGAAAUACAGUGCUCUUCAUUAAUAUGGGGGGCUUCGUGGUGCAGUGGCUAGCACACUUGGCUCACAACCGAGAGAGCCUGGGUUCCAUUCCUGGACGGAGUGGAAACAUUUGGGCGGCUUUUCCGAUACCCUACGCCCCUGUCCACCCAGCAGUGUACCAGGUAUUAAUCGGGGUUGUGUCCUGUCUCCUGGGAUCUGUUCCCUUCUCCUAUAAUUCCUUCCCCUACUGUCUCUCUCUGGCAUGUGACCACAGAUGUUGCACUGCCCACUAAACAAAACUUUCCUUGCAUGUCUCUCUCUCUGGCAUAUGACCACAGAUGUUGCGCCCACUAAACAAAACUUUCCUUGCCUAUCUCUCUCCGGCAUAUGACCACAGAUGUUGAGCCCACUAAACAAAACUUUCCUUGCCUGUCUCUCUCUGGCAUAUGACCACAGAUGUUGCGCUGCCCACUAAACAAAAACUUUCCUUGCCUUUCUCUCUCUGGCAUAUGACCACAGAUGUUGCACUGGCCACUAAACAAAACUUUCCAACUGUUCCCUUCUCCUAUAAUUCCUUCCCCUCCUAUCUCACUCCGUCAUAUGACCACAGAUAUUGCGCUGCCAACUAAACAAAACUUUCCUUGCCUGUCUCUCCGGCAUAUGACCACAGAUAUUGCGCUGCCCACUAAACAAAACAUUCCUUGCCUGUCUCUCUCCGGCAUGUGACCACAGAUGUUGUGCCCACUAAACAAAACUUUACAACUUCCAAAUGUGUAAUAUAUUGGUUUAACCCCUUCACUACGGCCAGGCCAAAACAGCGCCCCGUAUCCGAGAUCGCCGUGCGCACCAAAUUUCAAAUGUCGCUAUUGAAUAUAACAAGUUUUCAGCCAUAAACUCAACUUAAUCAUCAUGUAUUAUAUAUGAAAACAUGCAGAAUUAAAUUGUGCACAUAAAGAAACAUACAUUAAUUGAUAAUUUUGAGAUGUAAGCAUAAUUUGCCAAGGCUUUCCUAGGAGUUGUGGGCAUUUCCAGGGGUAGUUUUAUGACCCUUCCUCUGCACCGUGAACCUAAGGAAACACACAUGUGACAAGGCUUUCCUAGGAGUUGUGGGCAUUUCCAGGGGUAAUUUUGUGACCCUGGUGGUAGUGUGACCCUUCCUCUGCCCAUGAACUUAAGGAAACACACAUUUGGCAAGGCUUUCCUAGGAGUUGUGGGCAUUUCCAGGGGUAGUUUUGUGACCCUGGUGGUAGUGUGAACCUAAGGAAACACACAUUUGCCAAGGCUUUCCUAGGAGUUGUUGGCAUUUCCAGGGGUAGUUUUCUGACCCUGGUGGUAGUGUGACCCUUCCUCUGUACCGUGAACCUAAGGAAACACAUUUGCCAAGGCUUUCGUAGGAGUUGUGGGCAUUUCCAGGGGUAGUUUCAUGACCCUGGUGGUAGUGUGACCCUUCCUCUGUUCUUUGAACCUAAGGAAACACACAUUUGGCAAGGCUUUCCUAGGAGUUGUGGGCAUUUCCAGGGGUAGUUUUGUGACCCUCUGUACCGUGAACCUAAGGAAACACACAUUUGGCCAGGCUUUCGUGGGAGUUGUGGGCAUUUCCAGGGGUAGUUUCAUGACCCUGGUGGUAGUGUGGCCCUUCCUCUGUACUGUGAACCUAAGAAACACAUUUGCCAAGGCUUUCCUAGGAGUUAUGGGCAUUUCCAGGGGUAGUUUUGUGACCCUUCCUCUGUACCGUGAACCUAAGGAAACACAUUUGGCAAGGCUUUCUUAGGAGUUGUGGGCAUUUCCAGGGGUAGUUUCAUGACCCUGGUGGUAGUGUGACCCUUCGUCUGUACCAUGAACCUAAGGAAACACACAUUUGGCAAGGCUUUCCUUGGAGUUGUGGGCAUUUUCAGGGAUAGUUUCAUGACCCUGUGGUAGUGAGACCCUUCCUCUGUACCGUGAACCUAAGGAAACACACAUUUGGCAAGGCUUUCCUAGGAGUUGUGGGCAUUUCCAGGGGUAGUUUCAUGACCCUGGUGGUAGUGUGACCCUUCCUCUGUACCGUGAACCUAAGGAAACACACAUUUGCCAAGGCUUUCCUAGGAGUUGUGGGCAUUUCCAGGGGUAGUUUCAUGACCCUACCUCUGUACCGUGAACCUAAGGAAACACACAUUAGGACCCAUCUGACCUGCGAUUUGACCCAAUAAGAUGGUUGGUGUGAGGGUCAGACAGCAGGGUCACCACAGGGGCUUUGUACAAAUAAAAAUCUCCCUAUAACUUGACCAUAACCCUGCCCCCAAGUACUACUGCGAAGAGGUCACUGCCUGGGUGGAACUGCCAUAAUUUGUGUGUGUGUGAGGAAGAAGAGAAGGAGGAGGAAGAUGAUUAUAGAUUUUUCCCUUUCAGAUGUGAAGGUAUUUCUCUCUCUCUCUCUCUCUCUCUCUCUCUCUCUCUCUCUCUCUCUCUCUCU
Molecule: RNA transcript, 5544 nt
Organism: Eriocheir sinensis (Chinese mitten crab)
Lineage: Eukaryota; Metazoa; Arthropoda; Malacostraca; Decapoda; Varunidae
Gene name: serine/arginine-rich splicing factor 2-like
Exons: 8
Source: RefSeq, a predicted model, not a curated record